GACGAACGCUGGCGGCGUGCUUAACACAUGCAAGUCGAACGGAGUGGCGAACGGGUGAGUAACACGUGGGUGACCUGCCCUGCACUUCGGGAUAAGCCUGGGAAACUGGGUCUAAUACCGGAUAGUGUGGGAUGGGCCGGCGGCCUAUCAGCUUGUUGGUGGGGUGAUGGCCUACCAAGGCGGCGACGGGGAGCCGGCCUGAGAGGGUGGACGGCCACAUUGGGGCUUAGACACGGCCCAGAGUCCUACGGGGGGCAGCGGUGGGGAACAUUGCACAAUGGGCGGAAGUCUGAUGCAGCGACGUCGGGUGGGGGAUGACGGCCUUCGGGUGGGAAACUCCUUUCACCAUCGACGCGGUAGAUGAAGAAGAAGCACCGGCUAACUACGUGCCAGCAGCCGCGGUAAUAG
RNAcentral lists this ribosomal RNA (408 nucleotides) under uncultured bacterium. Its description in RNAcentral is "partial 16S ribosomal RNA". It matches the Rfam family "Bacterial small subunit ribosomal RNA", at positions 28 to 526 of the family's 1533-position model. The record is from RNAcentral.